Molecule: ribosomal RNA, 253 nt
Filed under: uncultured bacterium
Lineage: Bacteria
Description: partial 16S ribosomal RNA
Rfam family: Bacterial small subunit ribosomal RNA
Source: RNAcentral
UACGUAGGUGGCAAGCGUUGUCCGGAUUUACUGGGCGUAAAGGGUGCGUAGGCGGUUCUAUAAGUCAGUGGUGAAAUCCGGCAGCUCAACUGUCGAUGUGCCAUUGAUACUGCAGAACUUGAGUACAGACGAGGUAGGCGGAAUUGACGGUGUAGCGGUGAAAUGCUUAGAUAUCGUCAAGAACACCGAUAGCGAAGGCAGCUUACUAGACUGUAACUGACGCUGAUGCACGAAAGUGUGGGGAUCAAACAGG